Papaver somniferum (opium poppy) is the source of this 426-nucleotide long non-coding RNA. RefSeq lists it as uncharacterized. Lineage: Eukaryota; Viridiplantae; Streptophyta; Magnoliopsida; Ranunculales; Papaveraceae. The transcript has 2 exons. The record is from RefSeq and is a predicted model, not a curated record.
GUCUCUCGGUUGCGGUAGCAGCAACCUUUCUUCUUCUUCUUUUCUUCUUCUUCUUUUUCUUUUCUUCACCACACCAUCAACUUUCGUCCGAUCAAAAAGUUACAUAUUUGCUUUUGUUGAUAAGAAGAUUGAACAAAGAAAACAUUGGUUGAUUAAUCAAGCACCAGCUGAUUAAGGUUGGCUCAACUGAGGGCAGAGUUGAUGUCCAUCAUUUGGAUUUGGAUGAUUCUCAGCAAGAGAAAAACUUCACCUUCAAAUGUAUAGAAUUAUUGCUGCGAUUGAAGCAACGAUGGGUUGAGCUGAAAAUGGACUGAUUAGAUGUAUGUUAGGUGUUAUAGGGAAGGAUUUGGAAGGAUUUGUGUUUGCUUAUUGUAAUACUUGUGUUUGAUCUUUGUAAUUUGUCCUAAAUUAACUUAAUUAAAAUUU